This 68-nucleotide transfer RNA is filed under the name Salmo salar (Atlantic salmon). It matches the Rfam family "tRNA". From Rfam's summary of the family: Transfer RNA (tRNA) molecules are approximately 80 nucleotides in length. Their secondary structure includes four short double-helical elements and three loops (D, anti-codon, and T loops). Further hydrogen bonds mediate the characteristic L-shaped molecular structure. tRNAs have two regions of fundamental functional importance: the anti-codon, which is responsible for specific mRNA codon recognition, and the 3' end, to which the tRNAs corresponding amino acid is attached (by aminoacyl-tRNA synthetases). tRNAs cope with the degeneracy of the genetic code in two manners: having more than one tRNA (with a specific anti-codon) for a particular amino acid; and 'wobble' base-pairing, i.e. permitting non-standard base-pairing at the 3rd anti-codon position. Lineage: Eukaryota; Metazoa; Chordata; Actinopteri; Salmoniformes; Salmonidae. The record is from Rfam by way of RNAcentral.
GGCUAUGUGGCUCACUGAGCAUGGCGCUUGCAACGCCAGUAUGGUGGGUUUGAUUCCCGCUGGAGACA